AGCGAACGCUGGCGGCAGGCUUAACACAUGCAAGUCGAACGCCCCGCAAGGGGAGUGGCAGACGGGUGAGUAACACGUGGGAACGUACCCUUUGGUUCGCAAUAACUUGGGGAAACUCAAGCUAAUACCGGAUAAGCCCUUAUGGGGAAAGGUUUACUGCCGAAGGAUCGGCCCGCGUCUGAUUAGCUAGUUGGUGAGGUAAUGGCUCACCAAGGCGACGAUCAGUAGCUGGUCUGAGAGGAUGAUCAGCCACACUGGGACUGAGACACGGCCCAGACUCCUACGGGAGGCAGCAGUGGGGAAUAUUGGACAAUGGGGGCAACCCUGAUCCAGCCAUGCCGCGUGAGUGAUGAAGGCCUUAGGGUUGUAAAGCUCUUCUACCCGGGACGAUAAUGACUGUACCGGGAGAAUAAGCCCCGGCUAACUUCGUGCCAGCCGCCGCCGUAA
RNAcentral lists this ribosomal RNA (447 nucleotides) under uncultured bacterium. RNAcentral describes it as "partial 16S ribosomal RNA". It matches the Rfam family "Bacterial small subunit ribosomal RNA", at positions 29 to 523 of the family's 1533-position model. The record is from RNAcentral.